AGCAGCCGCGGUAAUUCCAGCUCCAAUAGCGUAUAUUAAAGUUGUUGCAGUUAAAAAGCUCGUAGUUGAAUUUUAGGCCUGACCGGGCGGUCCGUCUCUGGCGAGUACUGUCCUGUUGUCGGGUCUAUCCUUCUGGUGAGCCGGUAUGUCCUUAAUUGGGUGUGUCGGGGAACCAGGACCAUUACCUUGAAAAAAUUAGAGUGUUUAAAGCGGGCUUUUGCUUGAAUAGAUUAGCAUGGAAUAAUAGAAUAGGACGUUGGUUCUAUUUUGUUGGUCUAGGACCACCGUAAUGAUUAAUAGGGAUAGUUGGGGGCAUUAGUAUUCAAUUGUCAGAGGUGAAAUUCUUGGAUUUAUUGAAGACUAACUACUGCGAAAGCAUUUGCCAAGGAUGUUUUCAUUAAUCAAGAACGAAAGUUAGGGGAUCGAAGACGAUCAGAUACCGUCGUAGUCUUAACCAUAAACUAUGCCGACUAGGAAUCGGGCGACGUUAUUUUCAUGACUCGCUCGGCGCCUUAUG
This 517-nucleotide ribosomal RNA is filed under the name uncultured fungus. Its description in RNAcentral is "SSU rRNA". It matches the Rfam family "Eukaryotic small subunit ribosomal RNA", at positions 569 to 1092 of the family's 1831-position model. Lineage: Eukaryota; Fungi. RNAcentral also lists the same sequence under 1 other name. The record is from RNAcentral.